UACCAGCACCCCGAGUGGUCGGGACGAUUAUUGGGCCUAAAGCAUCCGUAGCCGGUCUUGCAAGUCUUCCGUUAAAUCCAGCUGCUUAACAGAUGGGCUGCGGAGGAUACUACAAGACUAGGAGGCAGGAGAGGCAAGCGGUACUCAGUGGGUAGGGGUAAAAUCCGUUGAUCCAUUGAAGACCACCAGUGGCGAAGGCGGCUUGCCAGAAUGCGCUCGACGGUGAGGGAUGAAAGCUGGGGGAGCAAACCGG
This 253-nucleotide ribosomal RNA is filed under the name uncultured bacterium. RNAcentral describes it as "partial 16S ribosomal RNA". It matches the Rfam family "Archaeal small subunit ribosomal RNA", at positions 474 to 727 of the family's 1478-position model. The record is from RNAcentral.